This 638-nucleotide ribosomal RNA is filed under the name Quambalaria cyanescens. RNAcentral describes it as "partial large subunit ribosomal RNA". It matches the Rfam family "Eukaryotic large subunit ribosomal RNA", at positions 44 to 669 of the family's 3401-position model. Lineage: Eukaryota; Fungi; Basidiomycota; Exobasidiomycetes; Microstromatales; Quambalariaceae. The record is from RNAcentral.
AAAAAAGCGGAGGAAAAGAAACUAACAAGGAUUCCCCUAGUAACGGCGAGUGAAGCGGGAAGAGCUCAAAUUUGAAAGCUGGCACCUUCGGUGUCCGCGUUGUAAUCUCGAGAAGUGUUUUCCGUGCUGGACCAUGUACAAGUUCCUUGGAAUAGGACGUCAUAGAGGGUGAAAAUCCCGUACUUGACAUGGACGCCCAGUGCUUUGUGAUACACUCUCCACGAGUCGAGUUGUUUGGGAAUGCAGCUCAAAAUGGGUGGUAAAUUCCAUCUAAAGCUAAAUAUUGGGGAGAGACCGAUAGCGAACAAGUACCGUGAGGGAAAGAUGAAAAGCACUUUGGAAAGAGAGUUAAACAGUACGUGAAAUUGUCGAAAGGGAAGCGCUUGAAGUUAGACAUGCUUGCCGGGAUUCAGCCUUGCUUUUGCUUGGUGCAUUUCCCGGUGUGCAGGCCAGCAUCAGUUUUGUUUGCCGGAUAAGGGUGAGAGGAAUGUGGCCCCUCGGGGUGUUAUAGCCUCUCACUGGAUACGGCGGAUGGGACUGAGGACCGCAGUGUGCCUUUAUGGCGGGCCUUCGGGCACCUUCACACUUAGGAUGCUGGCGUAAUGGCUUUAAGCGACCCGUCUUGAAACACGGACCCA